UACAGAGGGUGCAAGCGUUGUUCGGAUUCACUGGGCGUAAAGGGUGCGUAGGUGGCGGGGUAAGUUUGAUGUGAAAUCUCCGGGCUCAACCCGGAAACUGCAUUGAAUACUAUCUGGCUGGAGGGUUGGAGGGGGGACUGGAAUUCUCGGUGUAGCAGUGAAAUGCGUAGAUAUCGAGAGGAACACCAGUGGCGAAGGCGAGUCCCUGGACAACUCCUGACACUGAGGCACGAAAGCUAGGGGAGCAAACAGG
This 253-nucleotide ribosomal RNA is filed under the name uncultured bacterium. RNAcentral describes it as "partial 16S ribosomal RNA". It matches the Rfam family "Bacterial small subunit ribosomal RNA", at positions 524 to 776 of the family's 1533-position model. The record is from RNAcentral.